UACGUAGGGGGCGAGCGUUGUCCGGAUUUAUUGGGCGUAAAGAGCGUGUAGGCGGUUCGGUAAGUCUGUCGUGAAAUCCUGAGGCUCAACCUCGGGCGUGCGAUGGAUACUGCCGGGCUAGAGGGUGGUAGAGGCGAGUGGAAUUCCCGGUGUAGCGGUGAAAUGCGCAGAUAUCAGGAGGAACACCAACGGCGAAGGCAGCUCGCUGGGACGGUACUGACGCUGAGGCGCGAAAGCGUGGGGAGCGAACAGG
This 253-nucleotide ribosomal RNA is filed under the name uncultured bacterium. Its description in RNAcentral is "partial 16S ribosomal RNA". It matches the Rfam family "Bacterial small subunit ribosomal RNA", at positions 524 to 776 of the family's 1533-position model. The record is from RNAcentral.